Molecule: ribosomal RNA, 466 nt
Filed under: uncultured bacterium
Lineage: Bacteria
Description: partial 16S ribosomal RNA
Rfam family: Bacterial small subunit ribosomal RNA
Source: RNAcentral
GACGAACGCUGGCGGCGCGCCUAACACAUGCAAGUCGAACGAGCGAGAGAGAGCUUGCUUCCUUGAGCGAGUGGCGAACGGGUGAGUAACGCGUGAGGAACCUGCCUCAAAGAGGGGGACAACAGUUGGAAACGACUGCUAAUACCGCAUAAGCCCACGGUGCCGCCUGGCACAGAGGGAAAAGGAGCAAUCCGCUUUGAGAUGGCCUCGCGUCCGAUUAGCUAGUUGGUGAGGUAACGGCCCACCAAGGCGACGAUCGGUAGCCGGACUGAGAGGUUGAACGGCCACAUUGGGACUGAGACACGGCCCAGACUCCUACGGGAGGCAGCAGUGGGGAAUAUUGCACAAUGGGGGAAACCCUGAUGCAGCGACGCCGCGUGGAGGAAGAAGGUCUUCGGAUUGUAAACUCCUGUUGUUGGGGAAGAUAAUGACGGUACCCAACAAGGAAGUGACGGCUAACUACGUG